UACAGAGGUCCCAAGCGUUGUUCGGAUUUACUGGGCGUAAAGGGUGCGUAGGUGGCGAGGUAAGUUUGAUGUGAAAUCUCCGAGCUCAACUCGGAAAUGGCAUUGAAUACUAUCCCGCUUGAGGGUCGGAGGGGAGACUGGAAUUCUCGGUGUAGCAGUGAAAUGCGUAGAUAUUGGGAAGAACACCGGUGGCGAAGGCGGCGCUCUGGACCGAGACUGACGCUGAGGCGCGAAAGCGUGGGGAGCAAACAGG
This 253-nucleotide ribosomal RNA is filed under the name uncultured bacterium. RNAcentral's name for it is "partial 16S ribosomal RNA". It matches the Rfam family "Bacterial small subunit ribosomal RNA", at positions 524 to 776 of the family's 1533-position model. The record is from RNAcentral.